UAUCUGAAACCCUUAAAUUUGAAUUGCUUUGGGCCCAAAAAAUUGAAUAAUUCCAAAUACAAAGAAGCAAUGGCAAUUCUAUAAUUUUUAAAGCAAUUAUGCACCUAUUAUGUAAAGUAACAGGUGAGAGGGUCAAACUAGAAUAGAACUUAGAAGUGGAGGGCCUUUCUGGGAACUAAAAUAAUAAAAUAAAGAUGGGGAAUGAAAUAAACAAACUUGGUAAUAUGAGGGUUCUUGUAGCUCUUGUGUAAAUAGGAUAAAAGUUGUCUUUAAUAACAAUAAGAAGAAGUCCUUCCUCAUGAUUGAAGCAGUAGAAUCAG
Molecule: long non-coding RNA, 320 nt
Organism: Telopea speciosissima
Lineage: Eukaryota; Viridiplantae; Streptophyta; Magnoliopsida; Proteales; Proteaceae
Exons: 2
Source: RefSeq, a predicted model, not a curated record